GGGUUGUGAGGUUAAGCGACUAAGCGUACACGGUGGAUGCCCUGGCAGUCAGAGGCGAUGAAGGACGUGCUAAUCUGCGAUAAGCGUCGGUAAGGUGAUAUGAACCGUUAUAACCGGCGAUUUCCGAAUGGGGAAACCCAGUGUGUUUCGACACACUAUCAUUAACUGAAUCCAUAGGUUAAUGAGGCGAACCGGGGGAACUGAAACAUCUAAGUACCCCGAGGAAAAGAAAUCAACCGAGAUUCCCCCAGUAGCGGCGAGCGAACGGGGAGCAGCCCAGAGCCUGAAUCAGUGUGUGUGUUAGUGGAAGCGUCUGGAAAGGCGCGCGAUACAGGGUGACAGCCCCGUACACAAAAAUGCACAUGCUGUGAGCUCGAUGAGUAGGGCGGGACACGUGGUAUCCUGUCUGAAUAUGGGGGGACCAUCCUCCAAGGCUAAAUACUCCUGACUGACCGAUAGUGAACCAGUACCGUGAGGGAAAGGCGAAAAGAACCCCGGCGAGGGGAGUGAAAAAGAACCUGAAACCGUGUACGUACAAGCAGUGGGAGCCUCUUUUAUGGGGUGACUGCGUACCUUUUGUAUAAUGGGUCAGCGACUUAUAUUCUGUAGCAAGGUUAACCGAAUAGGGGAGCCGAAGGGAAACCGAGUCUUAACUGGGCGUUAAGUUGCAGGGUAUAGACCCGAAACCCGGUGAUCUAGCCAUGGGCAGGUUGAAGGUUGGGUAACACUAACUGGAGGACCGAACCGACUAAUGUUGAAAAAUUAGCGGAUGACUUGUGGCUGGGGGUGAAAGGCCAAUCAAACCGGGAGAUAGCUGGUUCUCCCCGAAAGCUAUUUAGGUAGCGCCUCGUGAAUUCAUCUCCGGGGGUAGAGCACUGUUUCGGCAAGGGGGUCAUCCCGACUUACCAACCCGAUGCAAACUGCGAAUACCGGAGAAUGUUAUCACGGGAGACACACGGCGGGUGCUAACGUCCGUCGUGAAGAGGGAAACAACCCAGACCGCCAGCUAAGGUCCCAAAGUCAUGGUUAAGUGGGAAACGAUGUGGGAAGGCCCAGACAGCCAGGAUGUUGGCUUAGAAGCAGCCAUCAUUUAAAGAAAGCGUAAUAGCUCACUGGUCGAGUCGGCCUGCGCGGAAGAUGUAACGGGGCUAAACCAUGCACCGAAGCUGCGGCAGCGACACUGUGUGUUGUUGGGUAGGGGAGCGUUCUGUAAGCCUGUGAAGGUGUACUGUGAGGUAUGCUGGAGGUAUCAGAAGUGCGAAUGCUGACAUAAGUAACGAUAAAGCGGGUGAAAAGCCCGCUCGCCGGAAGACCAAGGGUUCCUGUCCAACGUUAAUCGGGGCAGGGUGAGUCGACCCCUAAGGCGAGGCCGAAAGGCGUAGUCGAUGGGAAACAGGUUAAUAUUCCUGUACUUGGUGUUACUGCGAAGGGGGGACGGAGAAGGCUAUGUUGGCCGGGCGACGGUUGUCCCGGUUUAAGCGUGUAGGCUGGUUUUCCAGGCAAAUCCGGAAAAUCAAGGCUGAGGCGUGAUGACGAGGCACUACGGUGCUGAAGCAACAAAUGCCCUGCUUCCAGGAAAAGCCUCUAAGCAUCAGGUAACAUCAAAUCGUACCCCAAACCGACACAGGUGGUCAGGUAGAGAAUACCAAGGCGCUUGAGAGAACUCGGGUGAAGGAACUAGGCAAAAUGGUGCCGUAACUUCGGGAGAAGGCACGCUGAUACGUAGGUGAAGUCCCUCGCGGAUGGAGCUGAAAUCAGUCGAAGAUACCAGCUGGCUGCAACUGUUUAUUAAAAACACAGCACUGUGCAAACACGAAAGUGGACGUAUACGGUGUGACGCCUGCCCGGUGCCGGAAGGUUAAUUGAUGGGGUCAGCGCAAGCGAAGCUCUUGAUCGAAGCCCCGGUAAACGGCGGCCGUAACUAUAACGGUCCUAAGGUAGCGAAAUUCCUUGUCGGGUAAGUUCCGACCUGCACGAAUGGCGUAAUGAUGGCCAGGCUGUCUCCACCCGAGACUCAGUGAAAUUGAACUCGCUGUGAAGAUGCAGUGUACCCGCGGCAAGACGGAAAGACCCCGUGAACCUUUACUAUAGCUUGACACUGAACAUUGAGCCUUGAUGUGUAGGAUAGGUGGGAGGCUUUGAAGUGUGGACGCCAGUCUGCAUGGAGCCGACCUUGAAAUACCACCCUUUAAUGUUUGAUGUUCUAACGUGGACCCGUGAUCCGGGUUGCGGACAGUGUCUGGUGGGUAGUUUGACUGGGGCGGUCUCCUCCUAAAGAGUAACGGAGGAGCACGAAGGUUGGCUAAUCCUGGUCGGACAUCAGGAGGUUAGUGCAAUGGCAUAAGCCAGCUUGACUGCGAGCGUGACGGCGCGAGCAGGUGCGAAAGCAGGUCAUAGUGAUCCGGUGGUUCUGAAUGGAAGGGCCAUCGCUCAACGGAUAAAAGGUACUCCGGGGAUAACAGGCUGAUACCGCCCAAGAGUUCAUAUCGACGGCGGUGUUUGGCACCUCGAUGUCGGCUCAUCACAUCCUGGGGCUGAAGUAGGUCCCAAGGGUAUGGCUGUUCGCCAUUUAAAGUGGUACGCGAGCUGGGUUUAGAACGUCGUGAGACAGUUCGGUCCCUAUCUGCCGUGGGCGCUGGAGAACUGAGGGGGGCUGCUCCUAGUACGAGAGGACCGGAGUGGACGCAUCACUGGUGUUCGGGUUGUCAUGCCAAUGGCACUGCCCGGUAGCUAAAUGCGGAAGAGAUAAGUGCUGAAAGCAUCUAAGCACGAAACUUGCCCCGAGAUGAGUUCUCCCUGACCCUUUAAGGGUCCUGAAGGAACGUUGAAGACGACGACGUUGAUAGGCCGGGUGUGUAAGCGCAGCGAUGCGUUGAGCUAACCGGUACUAAUGAACCGUGAGGCUUAACCUUACAACGCCGAAG
Molecule: ribosomal RNA, 2924 nt
Filed under: Escherichia coli
Lineage: Bacteria; Pseudomonadati; Pseudomonadota; Gammaproteobacteria; Enterobacterales; Enterobacteriaceae
Description: 23S ribosomal RNA
Rfam family: Bacterial large subunit ribosomal RNA
Source: RNAcentral